GCUAGUGACCAUAGUGGAGAGGUAAUACCCGUUCCCAUUCCGAACACGGAAGUCAAGCUCUCUUACGCCGAUGAUACUGCCUUCAGCGGGAAAGUAGGAAGUUGCUAGCU
This 110-nucleotide ribosomal RNA is filed under the name Treponema sp. Lineage: Bacteria; Pseudomonadati; Spirochaetota; Spirochaetia; Treponematales; Treponemataceae. The record is from RNAcentral.